This is a non-coding RNA of Nomascus leucogenys (northern white-cheeked gibbon), 47 nucleotides long. Lineage: Eukaryota; Metazoa; Chordata; Mammalia; Primates; Hylobatidae. The record is from Rfam.
ACUGAGGUUUUUCUCAAAACCAUUUAAUAACCACAUGUCAGAUUAAU